UGAGCUUGAUCCUGGCUCAGGACGAACGCUGGCGGCGUGCCUAAUACAUGCAAGUCGAGCGGACAAUAGGGAGCUUGCUCCCUAUUGUUAGCGGCGGACGGGUGAGUAACACGUGGGCAACCUGCCCUGUAGACUGGGAUAACAUCGAGAAAUCGGUGCUAAUACCGGAUAAUAAAUGGAAUUGCAUAAUUCCAUUAUAAAAGAUGGCUCCGGCUAUCACUACAGGAUGGGCCCGCGGCGCAUUAGCUAGUUGGUAAGGUAACGGCUUACCAAGGCAACGAUGCGUAGCCGACCUGAGAGGGUGAUCGGCCACACUGGGACUGAGACACGGCCCAGACUCCUACGGGAGGCAGCAGUAGGGAAUCUUCCGCAAUGGACGAAAGUCUGACGGAGCAACGCCGCGUGAGCGAUGAAGGCCUUCGGGUUGUAAAGCUCUGUUGUUAGGGAAGAACAAGUGCCAUUCAAAUAGGGUGGCACCUUGAACG
RNAcentral lists this ribosomal RNA (485 nucleotides) under Bacillus sp. M16-C28. RNAcentral's name for it is "bacterial SSU rRNA". It matches the Rfam family "Bacterial small subunit ribosomal RNA", at positions 1 to 483 of the family's 1533-position model. The record is from RNAcentral. Lineage: Bacteria; Bacillati; Bacillota; Bacilli; Caryophanales; Bacillaceae.